This 3235-nucleotide long non-coding RNA is filed under the name Homo sapiens (human). RNAcentral's name for it is "HSALNT0294884". The record is from RNAcentral. Lineage: Eukaryota; Metazoa; Chordata; Mammalia; Primates; Hominidae.
CUUUCUGGCCUGUGCAGAGCUCAGAGACAGCGUCUAAGAGGGCGGCUGACAAUCUGCCUCAAACACAAACACAUGACAAAUAUAGUUCUGCAGUGAAGACUUUAGCCCCACGGGGAAAGCUGAGACUCAGGAGCCUGAUGGCAUAAACAAGGCGAAAGGCUUGGUAGCAAAUCAGAAGACUUGUUUUUGGAAGCUGAAAACUUACUUCGGCAACAACAGUCCUCCAUGGCUCCCUGUUUGUGCUCUUGCUGGCCAGGCCUGGGAAGCCCUCUUGGGGCCUCUGAGGCUUGUAACCAGCCCUGCUUAGGAACUUACUGUGUCUCUGUUUGAUUGAGCCUGGGCAUGAGAUAAAACACGAGGUCAUCUGCAAUGGCACUGGUGCUGUGGCUGUAUCAGCAUGGCUCUGAUGUCCCUUCGGGGCAGGCAACAGUUCAGGGAGGACUUACAAGCAAGCUCUGGUAAGUGGUAAGUGGGGCUGCACCCAGGAAGGCACCUCUGCAUGCAUUCCUGCAGAAUGGAUAAGGAGGGCUAAAGCAUCCUUCUCAUUCAGCACAGGGAGGAAGGAAUCAGGUGCCCACUUGUGACUCUGCUUUUGAGCUGGCCCAGGUGGACUGCUCUGAGGAGGGAAGGGGGCAGGAACAGGAAGGGACAGUGAGACAACCUGCUCCGUCCCACUCAGGAUACAGGCCUGUCCAGCCCCAGGUUCCACUGGAGGAGUCUCUCAGGGAAAGUUUCUGUCUCAACCUCCUUCUGCCUCUCCACCCUCCCCUCACCCAGGCUGCUGCAUGUCAUCCCCCUACCCACUGCCUUGAAUCUUGGCUUGAGCCUCGUGUCCUUCCCUGUCUACACCUGGUGCUUUGGUCCAGGCCUUCUAGUUUCAGUUCUGACUGUAUUAACAUCUCACCCCUCUGGAACUGCGGGAGUUUCCACCCCAAGACCAGGCCUACGUGUCCUCAUGUCCAGCUUGGGCCUCAGAGAUACAUGGCGGGGGCCUGUUCUCUUGCCCUGUCUGGGCAGGGAGACUGGACAUCAACAUGUGGCUUCUGUUUUUUCUGCCUGACCUCCCUUCCCUUCUGCACCCCUUCCAAAGUCCUUUCCUUCCCUCCUUCCCUUUCUUCUUCUUCCCCUUCCUUCCGCUUCUUCUUUUCUCCCUCUCUCACCCUCCAUAUCUCCUACACUGUUUGACCACACUGAGGCUUUAGCCCUAGCAAGCAGCCAAGCAGAGUGAGCUCAGAGGCCUUGACUGAGACAGGGCUCCUUCUGGGAGUGGUGGGUGGUUGCCCCUGGGCAGCCUGGGCUGAGAGGUCAGCAGGAUAAGGCCUCACCAUAGAGCCAUGUGGAAUCUCAGGAAUCUGCUGCGGAGUGAGUCUGUCCUGAGGGAAGAGAGCCUGCUCUGGCCUGAAAGCACUGCGUGGGGCUCCUCAGUCUGCACUGCUGUGGUGCACCCCACUCCUAGGUGGGAGGAAACUGUUCAGCCUUCCUUCUCUUCCAUUCCGAUCUCCCACUACCAUCACCACACCAGGGGGAGGGGUCCGAAUUCAGCUCAUCUCAAAGCAAUUUGGAAAGACAGGUGCAGGCUGCCUGUGGUGAGUUUCCAGAAACCAGCUUCCUUCCACUGGCUGUUAGCGUUGGCAUCGAGUGGGCUGCAUAAGCAACAUUUACAGAAUUAAUGGGCUCUGAGUCUCAAGUGAAUACAGCAGAAACAAGAGGGGCCAUGCCACUUUACAUUAUAAGACUCAGAACGUGGAAUUUCAAUCUCUCUUGAUCUGAUCUGUUUACUCACUUGUAAAGUAGGGGAAGUUCUAGAGCAGGACAAACAGGUUAAAUGAGAUGAGGGUUGAAUGCUGAGCAUAGCUAGCAACUGCUCAAUAAAUGUGGCUCCUGGAAUGACAAUUACUAUUAUUGCCUGCUGCCAGGGUAGCAGCGGGCAAUGGCAUCAGUGAAGGGCUGGAACCUGUAAGCUUCAAGCUUUGGUUUUUCUCUGUUCUUACUCUGGUAAAAGUCCCAGGAAGAGGGUAAGGAAAUGAGAGACUUCAGGACUCUGUUCUUUAUGGCCUAGGAAAGUGACACUGGUUCAGAAUGGGCCAUCUUCUUGCCUCUGUUUUUAAAAUCAAAACUAGCCCAGAAGAAGAUUUAGCUCUGGGUCCAAAUCUGGCCUCUGCCUCUAAUUGUGUAACUUUGGGAAAAUUACUUACCUCUCUAACUCUUUAUUUAUCUGUGAAAUUCCUAUCUCAUAGGAAUGUUGUGAGGAUUACAUGAGUUAAUACCUAUGGAGAAGUUAACACAGGGCUUGUGGGGCACAGAGCAUGCACUCAAUAAAUGGUCAUUAUAAUUAUACUUAAUUGCCAUUUUAGGAACUUGAAGUCUCAAGAGAUGACAAAUAGUCAAUUCUCAAAAAAUGAAGAAAAGAAAAACUUGUUUCUUCAUGUUUGCUAACCCUAUCUAUAUCUAUGGUUUUGGCCAAUAAAUUCACUGUGUUUAAAUCCUCAUUGCGCUGAUUUCUGUCUUUUGGAAAAUGACUUCACAGUGUUUACAUCUCUGAACCAUCCUGUCAGAGAUCUUAUUACUCCUAUUUUUUUUUUCUUUUAAGAUGGAGUCUCGCUCUGUCGCCCAGGCUGGAGUGCAGUGGUGUGAUCUCGGCUCACUGAACUUCCCCUCCCCAGUUCAAGCGAUUCUCCUGCCUCAGCCUCCCUAGUAGCUGGGAUUACAGGCCCCCACCACCAUGCCUGGCUAAUUUUUAAAUAUUUUUAGUGGAGAUGGGGUUUCACCAUGUUGGCCAGGAUGGUCUUGAGCUCCUGACCUCAAGGGAUCCACCCGCCUCGGCCUCCCAAAGCACUGGGAUUACAGGUAUAAGCCACCGCGUCCGGCCUACUCCCACUUUGUUUCCAAGGAUAGUCAAGUGAAGGAGUGGGAGUGGAGAAGGAACAAAUAAAUCUGUAACUGCUUGUGAUCAAUUAGUUGUUAAUGUCAAUACCACUGCACUGAGAAGGCUGAGGUUCACAAAGGUGAAGUGAUUUAUCUAAGGUUUUAUGUCUGGUUUGUAGAGAGCCAGGACCCAAAUCCAGACCUUCCCCUACAGACCCUGACCCUUCCUCUGCCUUGUGCCGAUGCCUUGAGGGGACCCUUCCCAAGGUCCCCUGGGCCACACCCUGCUCCCCUGACCCACAGGGCUGCUGAGGUCACCUCUUUCAAAGGGUCUGCUUUGGUUCCACUUUGCCAUUAGAAUAAAGCUUUG